GGGAUCUCGAGAUCACGAAAUAGAAAAAUCACUCUUCUUUUUUAUAUCUCGUGGCCACGACAUAGCUAACUCGUGGCCACGAGAAAGAUAAAAGAGGAGAGCAAUACUUGAUAAAAGCGGAGUGCAAUUAAAAAAAGAGCGGUGCAGUAAAUAAAGGCAGAGUGCAUUAAAUAAAAGAGGAGAGCAUUUUCGUCAUCUCGAGAUCCCGACAUAGCUAACUCGUGGCCACGAGUUAGUCAGCCAAUCAAAUUGUGCGUAACAUGUGUAAAUAUUAUGUACGCAUAUAUUCUGGUUUCCAGCUUCUACUGUAAACAAAUAGAAGCCUGGCAUUGGUGGAAUCAUGGUCGACGCGAUGAUAAUGAUGGAUCAUACUUGGUUUCAAGUAAUUGAGAGUAGGUCUGGCCCAGAUCACACAAACAGUGCCUGUGCCCAAAAAACUCAAGUACCCCUCAUAAACGAGGAAGCAAGAGGGCAAUAUCAACUCCCACAGGAAAAACACCUAAACAUGAACAUAAAAGGAUUAAACUAGAUGAAAAAACCAGACACAACAGAUGGUCCAUCGAAGAGAAAUCCUUUCUGAAAGAAUACAGUCAGAAAUUACGAAAAGAUGGCGAGUCAGAAAACAGUUUCUGGAACAACUGUGCAAUGGCCAUGAACAACAUGUUUGGUGGAAAGAACAGAACAGGUUCCAGCUCUCCAAGAGAAGUAGCAGGGCAUACAUUGUCUUCUCCAUUGAGAGAAAGUAUCGCUGUAGAACUAUUAAAUGAAAUUGAAUAUGCAGCACAAGAAUGCUACAACAAGGACAGUGUUUUAGCCCAAAAGGAUUUCUGUGACCUGGCUGAAUUUAAAUGGCAUGAACUGAUUGAUGAACUAUUAGAGCAACAUCCACUGCUAGCUGAUGCUUCUCUUGGCUGUGUCUCUACCAACCUCUAAGAUAGAGAAUACACAAUCUGUUCAGAGACUAAUACUGGUCAUAUCUACUGUGUUUGGAAUGUUGAUGAAUACAGGAUACCAGGAGUUGUCGUUACAACUUGUUAGUUCAAAAGAUAAUCACAAUGACUUAAGCUAAUGAACAAUCAUGCCAAAAAUUCCAUUUUGUUUCAACUGUGUUUCUUUUUUUCUUCAAAUGUUAUGUUAAAGACCAAAAGCACAAAAUAUGAACUUAACACCUUGUGUAUAGAAUGGAAUAUUGUAAAGUGUUCAAUUUAUAUUUAAUCAUUUUAUGAGUAACUCAAGAGAAAAUUUCAUUUAAGAGUUGCCAAACUCAGCGAAUGAAUGUUUGUUUUAUAAAAUAUUCAAUGUAUGUAUUUUAAAUAUAUCUUUAUAUGUUUUAAAUAUUUCACAAUAUCUAAAUACACAUUACAGUAAAAAA
Molecule: long non-coding RNA, 1372 nt
Organism: Dreissena polymorpha
Lineage: Eukaryota; Metazoa; Mollusca; Bivalvia; Myida; Dreissenidae
Exons: 4
Source: RefSeq, a predicted model, not a curated record